GACGAACGCUGGCGGCGUGCUUAACACAUGCAAGUCGAACGGAAAGGCCCUGCUUUUGUGGGGUGCUCGAGUGGCGAACGGGUGAGUAACACGUGAGUAACCUGCCCUUGACUUUGGGGUAACUUCAGGAAACUGGGGCUAAUACCGGAUAGGAGCUCCUGCUGCAUGGUGGGGGUUGGAAAGUUUCGGCGGUUGGGGAUGGACUCGCGGCUUAUCAGCUUGUUGGUGGGGUAGUGGCUUACCAAGGCUUUGACGGGUAGCCGGCCUGAGAGGGUGACCGGCCACAUUGGGACUGAGAUACGGCACAGACUCCAACGGGAGGCAGCAGUGGGGAAUAUUGCACAAUGGGCGGAAGCCUGAUGCAGCAACGCCGCGUGCGGGAUGACGGCCUUCGGGUUGUAAACCGAUUUCGCCUGUGACGAAGCGUGAGUGACGGUAAUGGGUAAAGAAGCACCGGCUAACUACGUG
Molecule: ribosomal RNA, 468 nt
Filed under: uncultured bacterium
Lineage: Bacteria
Description: partial 16S ribosomal RNA
Rfam family: Bacterial small subunit ribosomal RNA
Source: RNAcentral